UAGAUGCAGAAAAAGCAUUUGAUAAAAUCCAACAUCCAUUCCUAAUAAAAACACUUGAGAGUAUAGGAAUAAAUGUGCUUUUCCUUACAAUAGUCAGUAGCAUCUAAUUAAAACCAUCAGUAAGUGUCAUAUGUAAUGGGGAUAAACUGGAACCAUCUGCAACAAGAUUAGGAGUGAAAAAGGUUGCCCACUAUCACUACUAUUCAAUAUUGUAUUAGAAAUGCUAGCUUUGGCAAUAAGAGUUGAGAAAGAGAUUAAAGGAAUUAGAAUAGGUAAUGAAGAAACUAAAUUAUCACUGUUUCUAGAUAAUAUGAUGGUAUAUUUAGAGAACCCCAGAGAUUCUACUAAAAAGCUAUUAGAAAUAAUCCACAACUUUAGCAAAGUUACAGGAUGCAAAAUAAAUCCACAUAAAUCAUCAGCAUUCUUAAAUAUCACUAACAAAAUCCAACAGCUAGAGAUACAAAGAGAAAUUCCAUUUAAAAUAACUGUCGAUAAUAUUAAAUAUUUGGGAAUCUAUCUGCCAAGGGAAAGUCAGGAAUUAUAUGAGCAAAAUUACAAAACAUUUUCCACACAAAUACAGUCAGAUCUAACCAAUUUGAAAAAUAUUAAGUGCUCUUGGAUAGAUCGAGCCAAUAUAAUAAAGAUGACAAUACUACCUAAACUAAUCUAUUUAUUUAGUGCUAAACCAAUCAGACUCCCAAAAAAACUAUUUUAAUGACCUAGAAAAAAAUAACAAAAUUCAUCUUGAAGAACAAAAGGUCAAGGCUUUCAAGGAAACUAAUUAAAAAAAAAUCAAAUGAGGGUGGCCUAGAUGUACCAGAUCUAAAACUAUAUUAUAAAGCAGCAAUCAUCCAAACCAUUUGGUAUUGGCUAAGAAAUACACUAAUUGUUCAGUGGAAUAGGUUAGGUUCACAGGACAAAAUAGUCAAUAAUUUUAAUAAUCUAGUGUUUGACAACCCCAAAGACCCCAGUUUUGGGGAUAAGAAUGCAUUAUUUGACAAAAAUUGCUGGGAAAAUUGGAAAUUAGUAUGGCAGAAACUAGGCAUUAACCUACACUUAACACCAUACAUCACAAGAUAAGAUCAAAGUGGGUUCAUGAGCUAGGAAUAAAGAAUGAGAUUAUAAAUAAAUUAGAAGAACAUAGGAUAGUUUACCUCUCAGAACUGUGGAGGAGCAAGGAAUUUGUGACCAAAGAAGAACUAGAAAUCAUUAUUGAUCACAAAACAGAAAAUUUUGAUUAUAUCAAGUUAAAAAGUUUUUGUAGAAACAACACUAAUGCAGACAAGAUUAGAAGGGAAGCAAUAAACUGGGGAAACAUUUUUACAGUUAAAGGUUCUGAUAAAGAUCUCAUUUCAAAAAUAUACAAAGAAUUGACUCUAAUUUAUAAGAAAUCAAGCCAUUCUCCAAUUGAUAAAUGGUCAAAGGAUAUGAACAGACAAUUCUCAGAUGAAGAAAUUGAAACUAUUUAUAGACAUAUGAAAAUAUGCUCCAAAUCAUUAUUAAUCAGAGAAAUUCAAAUUAAGACAACUCUGAGAUACCACUACACACCUCUCAGAUUGGCUAGGAUGACAGGAAAAGAUAAUGAUCAAUGUUGGAGGGGAUGUGGGAAAACUGGGACACUGAUACAUUGUUGGUGGAAUUGUGAAUGUAUCCAAUCAUUCUGGAGAACAAUUUGGAACUAUGCUCAAAAAGUUAUCAAACUGUGCAUACCCUUUGAUCCAGCAGUGUUACUACUGAGCUUAUAUCCCAAGGAACCUGUGUGUGCAAGAAUGUUUGUGGCAGCCCUCUUUCUGUGGCCAGAAACUGGAAAUUGAAUGGAUUCCCAUCAAUUGGAGAAUGGCUGAAUAAAUUGUGGUAUAUGAAUGUUAUGGAAUAUUAUUGUUCUGUAAGGACUAGCAGGAAGAUUUCCAGAAAGGCCUGGAGAGACUGUCAUGAACUGAUAUUGAAUGAAAUGAGCAGGACCAGGAGAUGAUUCACUUCAAGAACAAUAAUACUAUAUUAUGAUCACUUCUGAUGGACAUGGCUCUCUUCAAUAAUAAGAUGAGAACCAAAUCAGUUCCAAUUGCUCAAUAAUGAAGAGAACCAGCUACACCCAGCAAAAGAACUAUGGGAAAUGAGUGUGAACCACAGCAUAGCAUUUCCACUCCUUCUGUUUUUGUUUGCUUGUAUUUUUGUUUUCCUUCUCAAGUUAUUUUUACCUUAUUUCUAAGUCUGAUUUUUCUUGUGCAGCAAGCUAACUGUAUAAAUAUGUAUAUAUAUAUAUUGCAUUUAACAUAUAUGUUAAUAUAUUUAACAUGUAUUGGUCUAUCUGCCAUCUAGGGCAGAGCUAGGGCGAAGAAGGGGAAAAGUUGGAACAGAAGGUUUUGUAAAGGUCAAUGCUGAAUACAUUACCUAUGCAUAUGUCUUGUAAAUAAAAAAGAUAUAAUAAAAAAUAAAAAUAAAUAAAAUAAAAACCUGUCUACUCAUAUGCUCCACUUCUGUCAACUUUGUGUUGGCUCAGUUUUUCCUCCAAGUUAGCAGCAACUGUUCAUUCCCAGAGAAGUGCUCUAAUUUUUUGACAUUAAAUCUUCUGGUAGUCACCUUGCCUUGGGGCUACUGCUUUUAUCGAAUGAGAAUAUUUAGCUUAAAGAGAAUAAGUUUAUGACUGAUCUAUCAUUCUGCAUCAUCCAUUGCCUUCACUCUCAUAUCCUGUAUAUCUCUUCAUCUAACAAUGACAUAGUUUAUUAAAUGCCAAUGUUUGCUAACAGGGAAUAUCUAUGAUGUGCUUUUAGGUAAACAAUAGACAGUAUUGGUGAUAGGCCGGUCUUGAAACCACAAGACUUCAAAACUCAUCUUGCAGAUGAGGAAACUGAGGAAAACCAGGCUGAACAUGCUGAUCCUGAGCAGCUGGUGGAGCUUUGCUCCAGGGGCACAAAGGGCACUGUCGGAAGCCGAAGGCCCCCGCCCAGGUGCCUUUCUCAUGGCCCUAGCCCAGGUGCCUUUUCCCCACCCCUUGCUUCAACAGAAUCGAGCAGGUGGUCAAACAAUCCUGAGAACUGCAACCGGGCAAAACGGUCUUGAGAAUCAAUCUUGAGUUGUCACCACACUAUGUUCCUGCUCACUGGACCAGCUAUAGCCCAUGUUCCUUUCCCAGACCACCCUACUUCUCUUUCCCAUGCUUUUUCCUAUAUAAGUUGUAUCCUGAGAGCAAUAAACAGAGACCUUGGCAACAAUCAGCCUC
Long non-coding RNA from Antechinus flavipes (yellow-footed antechinus), 3220 nucleotides. RefSeq lists it as uncharacterized. The transcript is spliced from 3 exons. Lineage: Eukaryota; Metazoa; Chordata; Mammalia; Dasyuromorphia; Dasyuridae. The record is from RefSeq and is a predicted model, not a curated record.